Molecule: non-coding RNA, 561 nt
Organism: Oryctolagus cuniculus (rabbit)
Lineage: Eukaryota; Metazoa; Chordata; Mammalia; Lagomorpha; Leporidae
Source: RefSeq, a predicted model, not a curated record
UGGGCACCUCUUGCACUGGGCCGUUUCCCAGCUUCUCGUGCCUGCUCUCCUGCACCUCUGCCGGCUACCGCACUCCCGCCCAUGCGCGGUCUCGCUUGCAGUCUCUGGGCUUCUCCCUGGAAAAGGCAGCGGAUUCCUGCUACACAGCAACCUGCUUGAAAUCGCAUCAGAGAUGAACACCACAUUCAACAUCCGCCUUGCCACAAUGACCCAGUUUCCAUGGCAGAGGUGAUGGGCUAUGAGCUUAUAAGAAAUAAGGCCUGGACCAGGGGGGCCAGCGCUGUGGCGCAGUAGGUUAAUGCCCUGGGCUGAAGCACCAGCAUCCCAUAUGGGCGCCGGUUUGAGACCAGCUGCUCCACUUCUGAUCCCGCUCUCUGCUGUGGCCUGGGAAAGCAGUAGAAGAUGGCCCAAGUCCCUGGGCCCCUGUGCCCACGUGGGAGACCCCGAAGAAGCUCCUGGCUCCUGGCUUUGGAUUGGCACAGCUCCAGCCAUUGUGGCCAUCUGGGAAGUGAACCAGCAGAUGGGAGACCUCUCUCUCUGCCUCUCCUCUCUCUAUGUAAC